AGGACGAACGCUGGCGGCGUGCUUAACACAUGCAAGUCGAGCGGUAAGGCCCUUUCGGGGGUACACGAGCGGCGAACGGGUGAGUAACACGUGAGCAAUCUGCCCUUCACUUCGGGAUAAGCCUCGGAAACGGGGUCUAAUACCGGAUAUGACCGCGCUACGCAUGUGGUGUGGUGGAAAGUUCUGGCGGUGGAGGAUGAGCUCGCGGCCUAUCAGCUUGUUGGUGGGGUAAUGGCCUACCAAGGCUUCGACGGGUAGCCGGCCUGAGAGGGUGACCGGCCACGACUGGGACUGAGACACGGCCCAGACUCCUACGGGAGCAGCAGUGGGAAUAUUGGACAAUGGGCGAAAGCCUGAUCAGCAACGCCGCGUGAGGAUGACGGCCUUCGGUUGUAAACCUCUUCAGCGCCGACGAAGCGAGAGUGACGGUAGCGCGAGAAGAAGCACCGGACCAACACGUGCCAGCAGCCGC
RNAcentral lists this ribosomal RNA (472 nucleotides) under uncultured soil bacterium. Its description in RNAcentral is "bacterial SSU rRNA". It matches the Rfam family "Bacterial small subunit ribosomal RNA", at positions 26 to 518 of the family's 1533-position model. The record is from RNAcentral.